CACUGAGGAAGACUUGCAGGGAAGCUAU
Molecule: non-coding RNA, 28 nt
Filed under: Cricetulus griseus (Chinese hamster)
Lineage: Eukaryota; Metazoa; Chordata; Mammalia; Rodentia; Cricetidae
Source: RNAcentral